Molecule: long non-coding RNA, 252 nt
Organism: Monopterus albus (swamp eel)
Lineage: Eukaryota; Metazoa; Chordata; Actinopteri; Synbranchiformes; Synbranchidae
Exons: 3
Source: RefSeq, a predicted model, not a curated record
GCCAGUGAGUGGCAAGCUGUGGCUGUGUCAAGCUGGGGAUGGUGAACCCCGGCUGGAAUCCACUCAGGGAUGUUCUCACCUCCAGACGUAAGCUCUUCUUGGAGUGGAAUUGCCUCGUGGCCCUGAAUUCUACCCUCAGGGAGGAGGAGGAGGAGUUAGCUCCAAUUCUGGCCGAACUCCCCAGCAGGAGAGGCUGAUGAUGACAAGCUCUGGAUUGUUCUUGAUACAGCACACUACACUGUCCAUCACUUG